AUCGCAAGGGAUGGGCAUGCGUCGCAUUAGCUAGUCGGCGGGGUAACGGCCCACCGAGGCGACGAUGCGUAGGGGUUCUGAGAGGAAGGUCCCCCACACUGGUACUGAGACACGGACCAGACUCCUACGGGAGGCAGCAG
Molecule: ribosomal RNA, 140 nt
Filed under: uncultured bacterium
Lineage: Bacteria
Description: partial 16S ribosomal RNA
Rfam family: Bacterial small subunit ribosomal RNA
Source: RNAcentral